RNAcentral lists this unclassified non-coding RNA (345 nucleotides) under soil metagenome. RNAcentral describes it as "partial contains 5.8S ribosomal RNA, internal transcribed spacer 2, and large subunit ribosomal RNA". The stretch from base 1 to 120 matches the Rfam family "5.8S ribosomal RNA", at positions 35 to 154 of the family's 154-position model. The record is from RNAcentral.
GAUGAUGAACGCAGCGAAAUGCGAUACGUAAUGUGAAUUGCAGAAUUCAGUGAAUCAUCGAGUCUUUGAACGCACAUUGCGCCCCCUGGUAUUCCGGGGGGCAUGCCUGUCCGAGCGUCAUUGCUGCCCUCAAGCACGGCUUGUGUGUUGGGCCUCCGUCCUCCUCCCGGGGGACGGGCCCGAAAGGCAGCGGCGGCACCGCGUCCGGUCCUCGAGCGUAUGGGGCUUCGUCACCCGCUCUUGUAGGCCCGGCCGGCGCUUGCCGACACAUCAAUCUUUUUUCCAGGUUGACCUCGGAUCAGGUAGGGAUACCCGCUGAACUUAAGCAUAUCAAUAAGCGGAGGA